This 1633-nucleotide long non-coding RNA is filed under the name Homo sapiens (human). Its description in RNAcentral is "HSALNT0212097". Lineage: Eukaryota; Metazoa; Chordata; Mammalia; Primates; Hominidae. The record is from RNAcentral.
ACAGAUGUGAACACUGAAGCUCAAAGUGGUCAAAAGUAUUUCAGAUAAUUUCUAAAUAAGUGGGCUGGUGAGGUUUCUCUAGUGUGUAAGAGAGAAUGCUAAAUAAUGUUUAAGAGGAAAAGGAGAAAACCUAAUAUUCCUUACUAUGCUAGAUACUUUAGGUACAUUAUUUAUAAAUGUCCCAUUAUCCUCUGAAGCUUUUCUAGAUGAAAAAAAAAAAAAAAUGAGGCUUGGAGAACAAUUUACUAUAGGUCCCAAGUUAAUAGAGAGUAGAGUCAAAUUUUGAUCUUUGGUGUAGCUGCUUGCUAAAGCCGGUGACCUUCCCAUAGCACUGCUCUGCCUCCUCGUGGCCACUCGGGGCAACACUUUUCUUUCUUGGGGCCAUGGCUGCAGUGCUGUGGAACCCACACAGGAGGGAAGAAGGGUAAACUGGGGGAGCACACGUUAGGUUUGAUUCUUUGGCUGUCUCACCUAAGGCCCGUUUCAUAAACCUAGACUGUGCCUAUUGAUUGGAAGAGAUUGUUCAGACUGUGGUUCUUAGCGCAGAACCAGACCUCUAACGGUGUCAUUUGAUGGCGGACUUUUUCCCUAAGCUGUCAACUAUGCUGUAUAGUUAGAGACACUAGCUGCUGCUGUUGUUUUGAUUUCUGACCAAAAGACAUGUUAAUAUGUUAAAGCAGUGACUUUAUGGCAGUCUAGCAGUUGUACCGCAAAGCAAGAAAAAAGAAGAUAGAAAUCAUGACAAGCCUGAAUAAAAAUGGAAAAAUUACAGAACAGUAUAUAGAUAUUUUGAUACCACUCAGGGCCUUUAGUGCUCACACAUCUGGAUUGUUUACCUUAUUUUUUUCAGUUUUCAGCAGGAUGUUUGGCAUUAUGGAGGUCAAGGAACAAGUAUUUUUUUAAAAAUGAGCAUCAUCGGCAUGAGCCACCACACCCAGCCCCACCUAUGUUACAUUUCUGCCACCCUUCUGUUUCCCAAGUCAUCUGGAUUGUUGAUUCUGCUCUUUUCCCCUCCUUCCCCUGACACUUUAUUCAUAUAUCUGAUAUAGCAUCUGUCACAGUUUACAUUGGAUAGGCUUGUAGAUGCCCCUUCUCCCACCAGUGUGCGAACUCUUUAGGGAUAACAGAGUAAAGAGGUUAAGAAUAGAGACUUUGGAAUCUGCCACUUACUAGCCAUGUGACCUUGAGCCAAUGGCUUCUCUGAGUCUCAGAUUCUUCAUCCACAAAAUAGAAAAGUAAUGGUACCAACUCUGUUGGUUGUGAGGAAAUGAGAUAUUAUAUAUGUGGGACACUUAGCACAGUGCCUGGCAUAUAGUGAACAUGCAGUAAUGAUUGUUUUCUUUGUACUCUCAGGGUCUGGUGCCUAAUGAGUCUCAGGGUUUUGUUUUGUUUUUUGAACCAAGCUGAAUAAUGUAAAUGGAAAAAUUCUGUUUUCUCAGUGUCUUUCGGUAGAUACAUCUUAUACCAUUUUGUUCUCUUCUAAAACAGGGCUUCUUAAUCUGUAUAAAUGAAGGAAGCCACCCCUUUUUCCCUUUUCCCCUGUAACUACCCUUUUUAGAGAUUUUAGGUUUUGUUUUUGAGAUGUUCUUUUGAAUUCAUGAAAUCCAAGAUGAGCCAAUCAGGCCCAGCAGAC